This 276-nucleotide long non-coding RNA is filed under the name Homo sapiens (human). Its description in RNAcentral is "HSALNT0042118". Lineage: Eukaryota; Metazoa; Chordata; Mammalia; Primates; Hominidae. The record is from RNAcentral.
AAUGUGUGUAUUUUCCAUAAUUAAGCAAAAUUCCUCAGGAGAAGAUAUAAUUUACUCAUCCCUAACAAUGUAAAAGGUAAACAGGUUAGCUUGGUGACUUAGAACACAGUACUAAUGAGCCCAAAGUUGUAGGACAGUUCACUUCACCUGACCCCUGGCCACAGAUGUUAUUUUUGACUUUCAUCAACUCUCCAACAAAUGCCUUGCCAUGGUUAGAAGGGCAACCAGGUAAAAGAAUAUGGUUAAGUUGCCACAAAGGACAAUAGCAGCAAGCCC